CGUAGUGUGUGUAUUUCCAAGUUUUCUUUAUUUAUAUCUUUUGGAACAGCGACCAAUUUAUCGAGGUACAGCCCUUACUUCAUUUGACGUGCCUCGGUUGUGUCGUCAAAGCGAGAUUUCUCGGCGGGCAUUCAGUUCCGUACGAUACUGCGCGUUCAACCGCAGCGGCAGGAUAAUACCGCGGCGGAUUUUGCCAAUCAUAUUUGAAGAAUGCAGACUAUGAGACGGACCCCUCAGUUUGAGUACAAAGAACCUCCGCCUACAGAAGUCCGCAGUGCUUUCCUUGAAUCUAUCUUCCAAGACUGUUGCAUCUGGACGUGACGAGGGUGAUGACUUCAGGGAAGUGGAAGGAACAGGAGAGGAAGACAUCUGGCAAUGGUCAUGACAGUUGUCCGUCAGGAAUCUACAGGUGGUGAGCAUGCGUAAGGAAUUGA
Long non-coding RNA from Ornithodoros turicata, 434 nucleotides. RefSeq lists it as uncharacterized. NCBI's taxonomy places the organism in Eukaryota, Metazoa, Arthropoda, Arachnida, Ixodida, Argasidae. The transcript has 3 exons. The record is from RefSeq and is a predicted model, not a curated record.